This 1235-nucleotide ribosomal RNA is filed under the name Candidatus Karelsulcia muelleri. Its description in RNAcentral is "bacterial SSU rRNA". It matches the Rfam family "Bacterial small subunit ribosomal RNA", at positions 112 to 1329 of the family's 1533-position model. The record is from RNAcentral. Lineage: Bacteria; Pseudomonadati; Bacteroidota; Flavobacteriia; Flavobacteriales.
AAUACGUACGUAACUUUCCUUAUGCUGAGGGAUAGCCUGAGGAAACUUGGAUUAAUACCUCAUAAUACAAUUUUUUAGAAAGAAAGAUUGUUAAAGUUUUAUUAUGGCAUAAGAUAGGCGUAUGCCCAAUUAGUUAGUUGGUAAGGUAAUGGCUUACCAAGACUAUGAUUGGUAGGGGGCCUGAGAGGGGCGUUCCCCCACAUUGGUACUGAGACACGGACCAAACUCCUACGGGAGGCAGCAGUGAGGAAUAUUGGUCAAUGGAGGAAACUCUGAACCAGCCACUCCGCGUGCAGGAUGAAAGCCUUAUUGGUUGUAAACUGCUUUUGUAUAUGAAUAAAAAAUUCUAAUUAUAGAAAUAAUUGAAGGUAAUAUACGAAUAAGUAUCAGCAAACUACGUGCCAGCAGCUGCGGUAAUACGUAGGAUACAAGCGUUAUCCGGAUUUAUUGGGUUUAAAGGGUGCGUAGGCGGUUUUUUAAGUCAGUAGUGAAAUCUUAAAGCUUAACUUUAAAAUUGCUAUUGAUACUGAAAAACUAGAGUUAGUUUGGAGUAGCUGGAAUGUGUGGUGUAGCGGUGAAAUGCGUAGAUAUCACACAGAACACCAAUAGCGAAAGCAAGUUACUAAGCCUAUACUGACGCUGAGGGCACGAAAGCAUGGGGAGCAAACAGGAUUAGAUACCCUGGUAGUCCAUGCUGUAAACGAUGAUCACUAACUAUUGGGUUUUGUACUUUUGUACGUUGUAAUUCAGUGGUGAAGCGAAAGUGUUAAGUGAUCCACCUGAGGAGUACGACCGCAAGGUUGAAACUCAAAGGAAUUGACGGGGGCUCGCACAAUCGGUGGAGCAUGUGGUUUAAUUCGAUGAUACGCGAGGAACCUUACCAAGACUUAAAUGUACUACGAAUAAAUUGGAAACAAUUUAGUCUAGCGACGGAGUACAAGGUGCUGCAUGGUUGUCGUCAGCUCGUGCCGUGAGGUGUAAGGUUAAGUCCUUAAACGAGCGCAACCCUUAUUAUUAGUUGCCAUCGAGUAGUGUCGGGGACUCUAAUAAGACUGCCGGCGUAAGCCGAGAGGAAGGCGGGGACGACGUCAAAUCAUCACGGCCCUUACGUCUUGGGCCACACACGUGCUACAAUGAUCGGUACAAAAGGGAGCGACUGGGUGACCAGGAGCAAAUCUAGAAAGCCGAUCUCAGUUCGGAUUGGAGUCUGAAACUCGACUCGUGCCAACAGCCGC